GUGAGUAAUAUAUCGGAACGUGCCCAGUCGUGGGGGAUAACGUAGAGAAAUUUACGCUAAUACCGCAUACGAUCUAAGGAUGAAAGCGGGGGAUCGCAAGACCUCGCGCGAUUGGAGCGGCUGAUAUCAGAUUAGGUUGUUGGUGAGGUAAAAGCUCACCAAGCCGACGAUCUGUAGCUGGUUUGAGAGAACGACCAGCCACACUGGGACUGAGACACGGCCCAGACUCCUACGGGAGGCAGCAGUGGGGAAUUUUGGACAAUGGGCGAAAGCCUGAUCCAGCAAUGCCGCGUGCAGGAAGAAGGCCUUCGGGUUGUAAACUGCUUUUGUACGGAACGAAAAGGUCUGCCCUAAUACGGUGGGCUCAUGACGGUACCGUAAGAAUAAGCACCGGCUAACUACGUGCCAGCAGCCGCGGUAAUGCGUAGGGUGCGAGCGUUAAUCGGAAUUACUGGGCGUAAAGCGUGCGCAGGCGGUUAUAUAAGACAGUUGUGAAAUCCCCGGGCUCAACCUGGGAAUUGCAUCUGUGACUGUAUAGCUAGAGUACGGUAGAGGGGGAUGGAAUUCCGCGUGUAGCAGUGAAAUGCGUAGAUAUGCGGAGGAACACCGAUGGCGAAGGCAAUCCCCUGGACCUGUACUGACGCUCAUGCACGAAAGCGUGGGGAGCAAACAGGAUUAGAUACCCUGGUAGUCCACGCCCUAAACGAUGUCAACUGGUUGUUGGGUGCAUUAGUACUCAGUAACGAAGCUAACGCGUGAAGUUGACCGCCUGGGGAGUACGGCCGGCAGGUUGAAACUCAAAGGAAUUGACGGGGACUCGCACAAGCGGUGGAUGAUGUGGGUUAAUUCGAUGC
RNAcentral lists this ribosomal RNA (854 nucleotides) under uncultured Comamonadaceae bacterium. Its description in RNAcentral is "bacterial SSU rRNA". It matches the Rfam family "Bacterial small subunit ribosomal RNA", at positions 106 to 957 of the family's 1533-position model. The record is from RNAcentral. Lineage: Bacteria; Pseudomonadati; Pseudomonadota; Betaproteobacteria; Burkholderiales; Comamonadaceae.